GCCGGGGUAGCUCAGCUGGUUAGAGCGCCAGACUCAUAAUCUGGAGAUGAGAUUAUCCAGAAGUCGAGGGUUCAAAGCCCUCCCCCGGCA
Molecule: transfer RNA, 90 nt
Filed under: Nitrososphaerota archaeon
Lineage: Archaea; Thermoproteati; Nitrososphaerota
Also listed under: 1 other name
Description: tRNA-Met
Rfam family: tRNA
About the family: Transfer RNA (tRNA) molecules are approximately 80 nucleotides in length. Their secondary structure includes four short double-helical elements and three loops (D, anti-codon, and T loops).
Source: RNAcentral